UCAUCGCACUCAAGCUCACCCUGCAACUUGCUCGCUCUCGUCUCGGCUCUGAUAUUUUCUGCCCUGCCCUCUCGCUGCCCGGCGUCAGCCUUCCUUGGUCGGGAGACGAAGGAGAGAGAUAAAGGAGAAGAUGUCGGACGGCACGGCGACCUGCAUCGACAUCAUCCUCGCCAUCAUCCUGCCGCCGCUCGGGGUCUUCUUCAAGUUCGGCUGCGGGGUCAGUAAAAUCUACUAGCUCUGGUUCAGAGCUCUUGCUGACUCAUUUGCACCCCAGCGUGCUCAAAUACUUGCAUGAUACUGUGCGCUGGUUUAUGACUACUGUGUUCGUGGGGGCUAUAGCUGAUAGAUGGCUCUUGCUCUGCUUGCAGGUUGAGUUCUGGAUCUGCCUCGUCCUCACCUUCUUCGGCUACCUCCCCGGCAUCAUCUACGCCGUCUGGGCCAUCACCAAGUAGAGGGGCCUCUUCGAGGUACUAUUCUACAUGCACCUUCUUCAACAACCUGUUACUGUGAAACUGCUCGUGUAGAGAAAAACAAAACACGCACCUCGCUUCUUGAUGCUUCCAGUGAAUUGUUGCUUUAAUUUCCUUUUGAUUAUGGGCAUGCAGGUGAUGAUGGGGCCGGGCCUCGUGCGUGUGGUGUCCUCGUCGUGCCUGGUGUGAUCUGCAGUCGUUUGAGAUGUAAUUUCUUCUAGUUUCUCUUCCCUUUGGCUGGAUGGUGCGCACCGUGUUCGUCCCUCUCCGCGGGAUACGGGCUGCACCUCCUCCGAUCCAUUGUAUCGCCCAGUUCCUCUGCACAUUUCCGUCCCUGUACUUCGAUUGAUUAAUUAAUUCGUCCGUUCUUUAGUGGAAAUUAAUUCU
Molecule: long non-coding RNA, 857 nt
Filed under: Setaria viridis
Lineage: Eukaryota; Viridiplantae; Streptophyta; Magnoliopsida; Poales; Poaceae
Description: long non-coding RNA (SVIR_LNC002470)
Source: RNAcentral